This 253-nucleotide ribosomal RNA is filed under the name uncultured archaeon. RNAcentral describes it as "partial 16S ribosomal RNA". It matches the Rfam family "Archaeal small subunit ribosomal RNA", at positions 474 to 726 of the family's 1478-position model. The record is from RNAcentral.
UCCCAGCGCCACGAGUGGCAUUCACAUUUACUUGGUCUAAAGCAUUCGUAGCCGGAAUUGUGCAUCUUUUGUGAAAUCGAGUUUCUCAAGGAUUCGGAUGGCAGGAGACACGGCAAUUCUAGGGACCGGGAGGAGUCAGAGGUAUGCGUUAGGGAGUGGUUAAAUAUGAUAAUCUAACGUAGACCACCUGUGGCGAAGGCGUCUGACUAGAACGGAUCCGACGGUGAGGAAUGAAGGCUAGGGGAGCGAACCG